GGGCGAAUGGUCUAGAGGUAUGAUAUUCGCUUUGCAUCAUCGGAGAUAUUACCUAAUUAGGGAAACUCGAAGGUUAAUUGCGAUUGCGAAGGGUCCGGGGUUCAAUUCCCCGUUCGUCCA
This is a non-coding RNA of Hypoxylon argillaceum, 120 nucleotides long. The record is from the annotation of a GenBank genome assembly. NCBI's taxonomy places the organism in Eukaryota, Fungi, Ascomycota, Sordariomycetes, Xylariales, Hypoxylaceae.